GUCCACGCCUUAAACGAUGAAUACUAGAUGUUCGGAGAGUUAACCCUCUGAGUAUCGAAGCUAACGCAUUAAGUAUUCCGCCUGGGAAGUACGGCCGCAAGGUUGAAACUCAAAGGAAUUGACGGGGCCCGCACAAGCGGUGGAGUAUGUGGUUUAAUUCGAAGCAACGCGCAGAACCUUACCUGGUCUUGACAUCCCUUGAUCGCUGCAGAGAUGUAGUUUCCACUUCGGUGGCAAGGAGACAGGUGCUGCAUGGCUGUCGU
Molecule: ribosomal RNA, 263 nt
Filed under: uncultured bacterium
Lineage: Bacteria
Description: partial 16S ribosomal RNA
Rfam family: Bacterial small subunit ribosomal RNA
Source: RNAcentral